AUUGAACGCUGGCGGCAUGCCUUACACAUGCAAGUCGAACGGCAGCACGGGAGCAAUCCUGGUGGCGAGUGGCGAACGGGUGAGUAAUAUAUCGGAACGUGCCCGGUCGUGGGGGAUAACGUAGCGAAAGCUACGCUAAUACCGCAUACGAUCUACGGAUGAAAGCGGGGGAUCGCAAGACCUCGCGCGAUUGGAGCGGCCGAUAUCAGAUUAGGUAGUUGGUGAGGUAAAGGCUCACCGAGCCGACGAUCUGUAGCUGGUCUGAGAGGACGACCAGCCACACUGGGACUGAGACACGGCCCAGACUCCUACGGGAGGCAGCAGUGGGGAAUUUUGGACAAUGGGCGCAAGCCUGAUCCAGCAAUGCCGCCGUGCAGGAAUGAAA
This 385-nucleotide ribosomal RNA is filed under the name uncultured bacterium. RNAcentral's name for it is "bacterial SSU rRNA". It matches the Rfam family "Bacterial small subunit ribosomal RNA", at positions 29 to 413 of the family's 1533-position model. The record is from RNAcentral.